Long non-coding RNA from Symphalangus syndactylus (siamang), 696 nucleotides. RefSeq lists it as uncharacterized. The record is from RefSeq and is a predicted model, not a curated record. NCBI's taxonomy places the organism in Eukaryota, Metazoa, Chordata, Mammalia, Primates, Hylobatidae.
CUGUGAGUCUGGUUUCAGAAAAGCCUUUUUGUAAGAGCUGAGUCUAAAAGCCUUAGCUCAGUUUGCUUAGUCAAGAAGGGUACAGCUGGAUAAAAAGAACAUGAAGAAAAUAAAAAAAAAAACCCCAAAUAAUGGAACAACAAAAAAACUGUGAAGGAUAGUGUCAUUGGGAGUGACAAGAGGGUCGUUUUUGAUGUCUUGAGGGGAUCCUAUCAGCAGGGGAUACAGAGAGACUCCCACUGACUUCAGCCUUCAUGCACACACGUGGAAGGAGAAACCAUGUAGCUGAUCCAGCCUGGAGACCACUGAUGACAGCCUGGAUGAUGGACACAGAUUUCAGAAAAGGAGACAAGCCAAAAACAUUCACUUGAGAGUGACGUUUGAAGAGAACCAGCGUUCAUCUCCAUCAUCUGGCCUAAUAGUUUGAUGCAUCUUCCUUAGUAACAUGUCUCAUCUCUCCUUUAUCAUUUGCCUUAUGGUGACCAGAGCCUUCUACUCCAGCUGUUCCUCCUGUUUGUUGAUCCUGUGCCUGAAGAUUGCUCCGAGCUCUUUCGGGAAGAACAUUCGUUCCUCUGCUGUCUUAGGAAAAGGUCAAGAGAAAACAAAGAAGGGGUCUGGGCCACGUUGGAAGUAAAGAACAGCCCUCACCAGAUAACCAAACCAGCUGGCAUUUUGAUCUUGGACUUCCCAGCUUCU